GACGAACGCUGGCGGCGUGCCUAACACAUGCAAGUCGAACGAGGUCCAAGGAGUGCUUGCACUCCUGAAGACCUAGUGGCGAACGGGUGAGUAGCACGUGAGAAACCUGCCCCGGACUCUGGGAUAACUCAAGGAAACUUGAGCUAAUACCGGAUACCCUCCUGCGGUCGCAUGGCUGCUUGAGGAAAGUUUUUCGGCUGGGAGGGUCUCGCGGCCUAUCAGCUAGUUGGUGAGGUAACGGCUCACCAAGGCGACGACGGGUAGCUGGUUUGAGAGAACGAUCAGCCACACUGGAACUGAGACACGGUCCAGACUCCUACGGGAGGCAGCAGUGGGGAAUCUUGCGCAAUGGGCGAAAGCCUGACGCAGCAACGCCGCGUGCGGGAUGACGGCCUGGUGUAACGC
This 405-nucleotide ribosomal RNA is filed under the name uncultured bacterium. RNAcentral's name for it is "bacterial SSU rRNA". It matches the Rfam family "Bacterial small subunit ribosomal RNA", at positions 28 to 431 of the family's 1533-position model. The record is from RNAcentral.